UGAGGAAUAUUGGACAAUGGGCGAAAGCCUGAUCCAGCCAUACCGCAUGAGUGAUGAAGGCCCUAGGGUUGUAAAGCUCUUUUAGUGGGGAAGAUAAUGACGGUACCCACAGAAGAAGUCCCGGCUAACUCCGUGCCAGCAGCCGCGGUAAUACGGAGGGGGCUAGCGUUGUUCGGAAUUACUGGGCGUAAAGGGUGCGUAGGCGGUCUAAUAAGUUAAAUGUGAAAGCCUUGGGCUUAACUCAAGAAGUGCAUUUAAAACUAUUAGACUUGAAUAUGAGAGAGGGCAAUGGAAUUUCUGGUGUAGGGGUGAAAUCCGUAGAUAUCAGGAGGAACGUCGGGGGCGAAAGCGAUUGCCUAGAUCAUUAUUGACGCUGAAGCACGAAAGCGUGGGGAGCAAACA
This 402-nucleotide ribosomal RNA is filed under the name uncultured Neorickettsia sp. RNAcentral's name for it is "partial 16S ribosomal RNA". It matches the Rfam family "Bacterial small subunit ribosomal RNA", at positions 355 to 774 of the family's 1533-position model. The record is from RNAcentral. Lineage: Bacteria; Pseudomonadati; Pseudomonadota; Alphaproteobacteria; Rickettsiales; Anaplasmataceae.